GGAAUAUUGGACAAUGGGGGCAACCCUGAUCCAGCGACGCCGCGUGUGUGAAGAAGGCCUGCGGGUUGUAAAGCACUUUGAGUGGGGAUGAAAAGCACAUCACUAACACUGGUGUGUCUUGACCUAACCCAAAGAAAAAGCACCGGCUAACUCUGUGCCAGCAGCCGCGGUAAUACAGAGGGUGCGAGCGUUAAUCGGAAUUACUGGGCGUAAAGCGUGCGUAGACGGUUAUUUAAGUCGGGUGUGAAAGCCCCGGGCUCAACCUGGGAAUUGCAUUCGAGACUGAAUAGCUAGGGUACGGUAGAGGGAAGCGGAAUUUCCGGUGUAGCGGUGAAAUGCGUAGAUAUCGGGAGGAACAUCCGUGGCGAAGGCGGCUACCUGGACCAGCACUGACACUGAGGCACGAAAGCGUGGGGAGCAAAC
Molecule: ribosomal RNA, 423 nt
Filed under: uncultured bacterium
Lineage: Bacteria
Description: bacterial SSU rRNA
Rfam family: Bacterial small subunit ribosomal RNA
Source: RNAcentral